RNAcentral lists this ribosomal RNA (253 nucleotides) under uncultured bacterium. Its description in RNAcentral is "partial 16S ribosomal RNA". It matches the Rfam family "Bacterial small subunit ribosomal RNA", at positions 524 to 776 of the family's 1533-position model. The record is from RNAcentral.
UACGUAGGGUGCAAGCGUUAAUCGGAAUUACUGGGCGUAAAGCGCGCGCAGGCGGUUUUGUAAGUCUGUCGUGAAAUCCCCGGGCUCAACCUGGGAAUUGCGAUGGAGACUGCAAGGCUGGAGUCUGGCAGAGGGGGGUAGAAUUCCACGUGUAGCAGUGAAAUGCGUAGAGAUGUGGAGGAACACCGAUGGCGAAGGCAGCCCCCUGGGUCAAGACUGACGCUCAUGCACGAAAGCGUGGGGAGCAAACAGG